AUCAAUUCCACAGGACACCAACCCAGGGGAGGUAAGAGUAUCUCAGAACCUCAGGACACCCUUCCAUGACUCCAGCUUCCCAAGUGCAGUGAGAGAAAGAGACCGGGAGCCUUUUUCUACUCAGAGGUCUCAGCUGGUUGCCAAGGACACCGUGAGCAGAGGCCGGUGCACAUUUUGCUUGAGGAAGGGAGAUUCUCUUUCCUCUCUCGCUUCUACUGGGCUGGAAGCAGCGGCAGGAGUGCACCUAGGCAAGGGAUGACAUCACCAGUAAGCUGAAAGGAUCUGCUCCAGACCAGCUGCAAUGCAGAUCAUCUGGCACCAAGUUGGCUCAGAAAAUAACUGCGGAUGACAAGUGCCGGAAGAACAGCUGUUGCCAACAAAAGUGGCCUGGUUAUGAAACACCUAUUACCUUCGAAGUCUUGGAUUAGUGAUUCAUUUCUUGCAUGUUAUACCAAGAGGGGUAACAUGGACAGGGCCGCUCCAGUCCCUGAAGACACCCAUAGGAGCAGGAGAGUGGGUCUGCCCACGGUUGGCAUGAUAUAGCUGCUCGGGACUAAACGCUGCCCGGUGAGGCAGUGGCCCGGGGGCUGCAGGGAAGCACAGGUGUGAGUUCAGACUAGGGAAUCUGCAUCCAGCUGGCAAGAAGGGAAGGGCCUGGCUUCAGCAAGUGCUCGAAUGACACUGAGCAAGAAGAACGCACGUAAUUCGUGCAAGGAGAACCCAGCCUCCCACGACGCCGGUGGAUACUGAAAAUAAAACCCCACAGCAAACAAAACCCAGGCUCGUAACAAUGCAGCUUCACUUCUCCUGAUUUCUUUCUGGCUUUCUGGCAACAUCUUAUUUGAGGCUAAUUAUUCUCCCAUUCACCCAGCCUUUUAAUGUCUGAAGGCAAGGCAGAGAUGAGGUGUGUGCCAACCAGCCUUUUGAUAAUUCCGGGGACUCUGGCUUGCCAAGUGGCUUUGCAAAAAUCUAAAUUUAUACUCAUCCCAUGACCUGCUCUGCUCCUCCAAAACCUCAUGCUGUCUCCUUUCAGCAGAAGUAGAACCACCAGGGAGGGUUGCCUAGACACUGUCUUCCUUCUCCUGAGCACUCAACACUUGUAGGAUAGCCUCCUCAGAGAAGAGCGGAUAUUUACUGUUGAACUGGAUAUCUACUGUGCACUGGACAGUGUUAGGGGUCCCAUUCAUAUCACUCUGCUCGGGGUGGGGAGGGAAACUCAACCCAUCCUCCUCCAAGGAGACCCGGUGAGGACAGCCAGGCGUGGAGGCAGGAGACGCUGCUGAAGACCUCUGGUUCCAGCCACAGUCAUGCUUAAGACCACCCUCCACACGUUUGUACGAGCCUCAUGUAUGAAGGAACUGACAGAGGAACCCAGGUGUGAAGAACUCGGGGCGUAGAUCUCCAAGCCUGCUUGAAUUGGGACUGGGGCCUCCUCUACCCAGAUCCCCCAUCUUCCAGUAUGUAGGCGUUACAUCCACCAACAGCCCCCGUGUAAUCCCAUCAACGGCCAAGACCCAGAGACUAUAAAACCCAGCUCCUGGAAGUGCAACAUCUUAUUAUCUAGUUCUUACUCUGGAGAACCUGGCAGGUUACCAAAAGUAUCCUACCCACACAGCAGAGUCUGGCAAACUCCCUGUGACGUAUUCAAUAUGCCAAAAACCAGUAACAAUGAUGGGUCUCAUUCUCCUGACCCUGAAAGAGCCUUGAAUGUGGCACUUUUUAAAAUCUCAGGACUAGGAUGGAGACGUUACUGGGGCCUGCUCGAGGCAAUUGAUGAACAACAGGAUGACAGUGAUACAGUGAUUCCUAUCACAAUCAGAUCUGAAGCAUCACAGUCCUAUUCAGGAUGUCGAGUAAGUGAAUA
Molecule: long non-coding RNA, 1864 nt
Organism: Sorex fumeus (smoky shrew)
Lineage: Eukaryota; Metazoa; Chordata; Mammalia; Eulipotyphla; Soricidae
Exons: 3
Source: RefSeq, a predicted model, not a curated record